Molecule: long non-coding RNA, 1721 nt
Organism: Micropterus dolomieu (smallmouth bass)
Lineage: Eukaryota; Metazoa; Chordata; Actinopteri; Centrarchiformes; Centrarchidae
Exons: 3
Source: RefSeq, a predicted model, not a curated record
UAGGAGCUGCCAGUAGGGCUUGUGAUGGCGCUGUGGAGACAGACACAUGCAUCUUUCAGGAGAGGAAGAAUGUUUCUGAAUUAUUUGACGACGCACUGUUAAGAAGACGGGGUCUGACAACGCAGGCAUAAACUUUGUGAGCGAGUUAAAGAUAAACUUUUUUUAUCUUUCAUUUAUUAAUGUGUAAGCCUAUAUCUUAAUGUAUUAUCUUGAAAAGUUUUAAAUGUGUGUUGAAUAUAAACUCCUCUUAGGAAUUUCACCAUUCAAUGUGAAUUUAUCUGAGAAUAUUCUUAAAUAAGGAAAUUCAGUGAUCGUUCCUUGGCUACGUCGUCAUCCAAAAUCCUGUGUCGUGAAUCAGCACUAAGACUGACACUUAAUAUUUAGUCCUACACUUCACUUAAAUUAGGACUAUGGUGCUUGAUAACUAACUUUUAAACUCAGCUUUGAGCCAAGAAGUUUUUUACUCUUAAGUCAGUUCUUAGCAGUGUUCUUAUGAGUAAUUCUAACAAGCUUGAUAAAUACGGGCCCUGAUCUUGUAGUAUGUCAGAAUCACAGUGAAAUUUUUAUAGAAAGUUGGCACAGGAGGUGAAAAUAAUACCCUCUGGGCCUAUGCUGCGUGUAAUCCUUUCUCUCUCUCUCUCUCUCUCCCUCCCUCUCUCCCACAUUUCCUGUCUCUCUCAUCGGCUGUUUAAUCAAAUAAAGGCAAAACACCUCCCAAAAAAGAAAAGAAAACCUCUGUCUGUGCUCAAGAAGCCACCUAGGCCUGAAUACUUAUGUAUUUCAGGAGAAAGGAUCAGCCCCAUAUAUGGCCAUCUAGUGUGGAGGUGCUUCUAAGCUGCUGUUUGUGGAAACUGCUGUAACUCUCUUCAGGGCUCUUUGUGUGGACACUGGUCACAGCUGGACAGAUAUGUAUGUGCAUGACAGUAUGUGAGCAUGUGCAAGCAAAGUAUUCAGUUUUGGCCUAGGCGGCUUCUCAUAAAGUCCCUUUUAGAUUAGAUCUCUGUUUUUUGAAAUUUAAUUUAUACACGUCCAGAUCUGUUUUGCAUUGGGUCCAUUUUAGAUCAUUUUGGGCAACAUUUUUGCUCUAGAGCUUAGCUCUACAUGUAAAUUUGUCUUUAGCAUACUCCUAUAUAUCCUUCAGGAGUGUGGGUGUGAAGAUGGUGUGUCAUCCUGUUUUCCUGGAACUGGUUUGGUUUUAAGGCUGGUAGUGAUAUUAGCCUGUACGGCUUGAAUGCCUCCUCUAGCUCUGGUCAGCUGCUCUUCUUUUAUUGUAGGCAGCUCAGGUUUUAUUUUACGGUUAAAAAAUUAUAUGGUGAAACCCUAAAUUGUUACACUAAAUCACGCAACAAAUUGUCCCUGUAUGAGCUCAAGCGCUGUUCCCCUGUUGCAUCCCAGGUGUGUAGCAUCACUGACUAAUUAUGAGUCAGUGAUUCCAGUCUUGCCCCCCAUGUGCAAACAGUUCUGAACCCAUGAUUCUGAUUGAAUCGCUUCCUGCACACAUCUUAACAUACCAAGAUCUACAAUCUACCACUGCUGCGUAAACAGAACUGACAGGAAGGCAUGCUGAGAGAGAGCCAACUAACCUUUCAUAUACCCUUCAAACCCUGGCAGCACUGAAGUGGACGAAGCAGAUCACCACCUGGUGCUUUCUUCCAUGCCUAAGCCUGCACGCUGUUCCUGCUCUUGUGGCUUACUUAACAAGGUAAUUUCAAUCUUAUCAA